Molecule: ribosomal RNA, 329 nt
Filed under: uncultured eukaryote
Lineage: Eukaryota
Description: partial 18S ribosomal RNA
Rfam family: Eukaryotic small subunit ribosomal RNA
Source: RNAcentral
CCCUUAGAUGUUCUGGGCCGCACGCGCGCUACAAUGAUGAAUUCAACGAGUUUAUAACCUUGGUUGAAAAGCCUAGGUAAUCUUUUGAACUUUCGUCGUGAUGGGGCUAGACCCUUGCAAUUAUUGGUCUCCAACGAGGAAUUCCUAGUAAACGCAAGUCAUCAGCUUGCAUUGAUUACGUCCCUGCCCUUUGUACACACCGCCCGUCGCACCUACCGAUUGAAUGGUCCGGUGAAAUCUUCGGAUUGAGACUUUGAUUUGUUUACUCAAAACGCUGUUUCAAGAAGUUGAUUAAACCUUACCAUUUAGAGGAAGGUGAAGUCGUAACA